Molecule: non-coding RNA, 3234 nt
Organism: Nylanderia fulva
Lineage: Eukaryota; Metazoa; Arthropoda; Insecta; Hymenoptera; Formicidae
Source: RefSeq, a predicted model, not a curated record
UCAAAGGGAAGAAGAGCUCGCUAGAGAUUGAAACGCUGUACCGCUCAACAUCUUCGUCUGCUGCUGAUUGAUCCAGAGAGAGAUAUCGGACGGCUUUUGGGCGCCGUUCCCGGAGCGGUUCUUGUGCCGGGCGAGCGCGUCGUCCAGGAGUAGAACGACGAGCGCCGUCACCGCGGCCAGGGCGGCCGCAGCCGAUCGCAUAAUAAUCGUCCGCGACGAGGACCGCUUGGUGCCACCGCCAGGUGUUGCACGCACGACACCGGUGCGAGGAGGAGGAAGAAGAGGAAGACCGCUCCUUCCCUCUGGCAGUCGUCGAAAAAUAAAAAAAAAAAAGAAACAGGAUACAGAUAGGAUAGGUAACGCAGAGGGCAACGUUUCCCCGGUCGCUUAUCUCUCCCCUGAAAGCGGAGCUCGCGUGCCGUCCGCUUCGACGCGUGUGAAAUCUGGGAUUUCACGGGGUCACCUCGGACGUAACCCACGGUGCGGAGGAGAGGAUCCUCUUUUCUACCCUCCCCUCCCCGAUGACGAAGUGAUUUCAAUGCGCGGUUGUCCACCCCCUCGAUUGAUAAGGGGAAGCGGAGAGAAGAAGGAUUUGUAUAUAUAUAUGAUAUCGCUUCGAAAGAGAUGAAUCCUCGCGUGCGUGUCUGCACGCUUGUCGCGUACGGUACGAUGCGUGCGAACCGCGUCGCUCCGUCAGACUGACUGACUGACUGACUGACUCUCAAUGAGAGGGAGGCCGAGAGACCUCUCCGUGAAGAGCGAGAUAGAGAUCUCGCAGACGGACUCUCGGGAGCACGCCGGGGAGAGCGAGUUCGAACGGAAUAAGGCUGCGUGCACAACGCAAACAGCCAUCGCUCUCCGCUUUUUCGUACAUGCUUCGGACGCUUUUUCCCGUUUCUUCCCGGACAGCACCAUGUUCAACAUUGGCGCAUAUAAAACUUCUUUAAGAUAUCUUUUGGAUAUAAUAUCAGAAUUUGUUAAAGAUAUCUUAUGCGCCAAUUUUAGACAUGGUGCUGUCUGGGUUACUAUCUUGGAAAAAUAAGUCUUGAAGAAUAUUUAGUUUUACAUGUAUAAGUCAUAAUCAUCUUGAAUAAUUUUCUUACUAUUUAAUAUACGAGUUAAAAAUGGACCGAUUGAUCGAAUUUAGACUUAUAAUAAACUGCAAGAAUACGGCAAGAGAGAGGAUUAUGGAACUUCUAAUAUUAUAAAUUAGGCAUUCACAGUAAAAAAAUAAAAAUUUCAAUUACGUAUUCAUUUUUGCAAUAAAUAAAUCUCGAGAAUUUUAAUUCUCUUUAAUUUCGGAUGCACAUAAUUGCAGAAUCCAUUUUUAAAUCGUUUGAUUGGAAACUUGAAAAAGUGUAUAUAGGAAUACACGGAAAUCAAAAUUCAAAUUAGCAAGAAAAAAGUGAAAAGAAGUCUUGACGGAGAACCAGUUUUUUUAACGUCUUUUAAUUGUCGGUUUUCUGUGCAGUUUCCCCAUUCGUUCUUUAUAUCUUGCCGACAAUUGAAUUUUACUUCCGUGUUGCGUAAAUUCACCACAUCUCACAUUUGCAUUCUACGCUCAACUUACACAUUACAAAAUACUUAUAAAUUGCUAUACACAUAUUUUCUAAUACUUAAGAUUCGUUCAAGUUUAAGCACAUCGAGGAAACACUGAAUGUUUAACUGAAAGAAAAAUAAGAGGAAAAGGGACGCAUCUCUUUGAUAUAAAAUAUAAAUUUUUAUUUCAUCCCUUUUCCUUUAUAUUUUUAUAUUUAUUAUCGUGAUGCCUCGAUGAUGUUACCACGAACUCAUGAUUUUAUAAAACUUCAUGUUACAUAUGCAAGAAGUUUACGACGCGACGAAGCGGAAGUUUUCCCCAGAUUGUAUAAGAAAAGUUCACGUUCAUCAAUAAUCGGAAAUAUAUAAUUAGAAUUAGAAUUAGAAUUCUAUUUUUAGAUGGAUCUUCCGAAUCGCCGAUACUCUCUUCAAGAGCGUCUAUCCUCAAUGAAUAAUCAAUAGUAUAACCGUUGUAUCAGUGGAACGGACUACCUCCAACAAGUAGUCCAUUGUUAUCCUACGCAGCUGAAAGCCUCUCCGUCUUCCUCCUCUACUUUAUCCUUCUUCUUCCGGUACGCUUCUUCCAGUACGACCGUGAACAUGUUGCGGAAUGGUCACAAAUUCUUAAAGGCACGGUCAGAAACAUCCAAUGACGGAAUAUCACAAUCAGCUGUACGGGAAAAAUGACGUCAAUUCCUGCAUCGCGAUUCUUUCCAAACUCGAGAGGUCCACUUUGGAACCACGUAUUUUGAUCUCGAAGAGAAACCGAGAGGACGGACGCAAGUUUUGAGAAAAGAAUGAGAAAUUCUCUACGUAUAAUACGGCUCUCCCGGUGCAACUUCGCCUGCCAACAGCGAAUUCAAUUAGGAUUGCGCGGCGGACGUACAAAAACAUUCGAUCAGGAAUAAACCGGCAGCCUGCCUGCCUCGCGGACGCUCUCUUACAACUCGUCUCGCUUUCCCGUUCCCAUGGACCAUGUAUAUAACGCGUGUAGGUUGCGUUAUCGAUUGCACGUUUUGUCGCCGGAUUACUCUUCGGCAGAUAUUUCUGAUAUGCAUGUCAUAGAGCGAUCCUUCAUUAAGUUCAAACUUUUCAAAAAUCUGCAUCUCUUUUCGAAAGACAAAUAAUCUCGCAAUUUUUGAUUAAUGUAAAAUCGAGCAAGAUAAACUUGUAACAGGAGGAUGUAAGUUGUAUAUAUUGUAAUCAAAUAUUUUUGUCCUCUUUAGAUUAGGUAUAUUACUUUUACUCAUUUUGCGAAUGUACAGCAGUCCAAGACUCCAAAAUUGAAAUAUGCUUGUUAUAUCCACAUAUAGAGAUUCGAGUGAUCGAAGAAUUGCCGUUCGAUCGCAGUUAUAUUUCUGUGGAAGGUCUGCCCCGAUCGCAUCUCCCUUUAUUCUCCCUCGAUCUUUUAUUCGUCUGUGGCACAAACCGCGAUGAGGGAGAGAAAGAAAGGAUCCGGAGUAGCUCGCAGAAGAUCGAGAGAAUACAGACGCAAAAAAAAACCCGUCUAGCAUAAUCACAUUAUCGAUCACAUCUUGCUCGAUUUCUGCGUUCGCGUAGUCGGCGGAUUUAUCCAGGACGAGAUUCUAUUUAGAGAGAACAUAACGUGUAAUUGUGUUCAAAUUAUAAUUUUAGGCGAAAUGUUGUUACUCUUAAAAUGGUUUUAUCAAAAUAAAAGAUGUAUUUAUACGCGUA